ACUGAUAUCUACUAAGCCCCAGCCAAAAUCCCAUGCCCAAAUCUGAUAUCUCCUCCUAACCAAAUGUGGCAGACUGACAGCCUUUCCAAGCCACAGUUCGACGCUGCACAGAAUUGUUCCGGACGUGGUUUGAGCCCUGCCCAGACACGAUGUCUGCUCUUUUCCUCCGGUGGGACAAUAUCUGUGUUGCUCAUCUCUGUGAUUGGUCUGUAUAGUCCUGGAUUGGAAGCACCUGCUAUCUGCCAGUGAUCUACACAGUCCUUGAUUUGAAGCCCUUGCAUUGUGAUCCGAUAUAUAUAUAUAUAUGUAUAUAUAUCUGGCCGAUUGUGAAGGAACAGGUUCCGAAGCAGGUCCGGAUACUCUUCCUCUACCGGGUGGCGGGCUAUCUGUAGGGUUGUUAUGGUCCUUCUGAACAGGAUUGAUGCUGUUGGUGGCCUCAGGGGCUAAGCUAGAGUAAUCCUCUAGCUCCCACCAAGCUCCCAAAAUGGAAUUUUGAUGGAUCAAGUGCUGGGCAAGACACCAGGGGAUGAUAGUGAAGUGGUCAUAAAGUAGGUUCUGGUCACUUACUGUGCUCUUGUGUUUGUUUCAGAUUGGAUUUUUGUUUUGAAAUGUUCGGUAUUGAGCAAGAAUACACCCUAUAACCCUAUUGAAGAAAGAGGUCAACUAGCCUAUUGGGUGGCCCACUGAAGGAUGUCCAGGACCGCAAGUUAGCUUAUAUAUAUCUUUAGGGCCCUUACUACUGUGGUGUUGGUGCUGAUAAAGCCUUUGGACGUGACAUAGUUAAUGCUCAUUACAUAGCAUGUCUGUAUGCUGGUAUUUACAUAAGCGGCAUAAAUGGGGAGGUUAUGCCUGGACAGGGUAUAUCCUUCAUUAGUUAAACAGGCAUGGAAGACCGAAGGGAUGGCUGUGGUGUUGAUACAUGGAGUCAGGCAGGCGAUUCAAGACAUGAACAUAAAUAAGGUCCUUCAUAUGUGUUUGCAUCGCCCGAGUUCUGAAGUACAACUUACUUUUACAAAAGACACCUCAACUUAUGCUGCCUUCUGACUGCUCUGUAUGUGUCUGCUUCCGGACACUCAAUGACUAAAUAUUUCAGCACACUGAAGCUCUUAGGUUGUAUUUAAUCAUCGCAGUAACUUAAGAUAAAUAUAAUUUAUAAAAAAUAUUGUCUGAAAAAUUGUAAAUUGGAAUCGCAUAGCCCAUUGUUGUCAGUGUAAACUUAUUUGUUUGGC
This is a long non-coding RNA of Daucus carota subsp. sativus, 1229 nucleotides long. RefSeq lists it as uncharacterized. The transcript is spliced from 7 exons. The record is from RefSeq and is a predicted model, not a curated record. Lineage: Eukaryota; Viridiplantae; Streptophyta; Magnoliopsida; Apiales; Apiaceae.